This 352-nucleotide unclassified non-coding RNA is filed under the name soil metagenome. RNAcentral describes it as "partial contains 5.8S ribosomal RNA, internal transcribed spacer 2, and large subunit ribosomal RNA". The stretch from base 1 to 120 matches the Rfam family "5.8S ribosomal RNA", at positions 35 to 154 of the family's 154-position model. The record is from RNAcentral.
GAUGAAGAACGAAGCGAAAUGCGAUAAGUAAUGUGAAUUGCAGAAUUCAGUGAAUCAUCGAAUCUUUGAACGCACAUUGCGCCCGCCAGUAUUCUGGCGGGCAUGCCUGUUCGAGCGUCAUUACAACCCUCAGGCCCCCGGGCCUGGCGUUGGGGAUCGGCGGAAGCCCCCUGCGGGCACAACGCCGUCCCCCAAAUACAGUGGCGGUCCCGCCGCAGCUUCCAUUGCGUAGUAGCUAACACCUCGCAACUGGAGAGCGGCGCGGCCACGCCGUAAAACACCCAACUUCUGAAUGUUGACCUCGAAUCAGGUAGGAAUACCCGCUGAACUUAAGCAUAUCAAUAACGGAGGA